Molecule: ribosomal RNA, 254 nt
Filed under: uncultured prokaryote
Description: partial 16S ribosomal RNA
Rfam family: Bacterial small subunit ribosomal RNA
Source: RNAcentral
UACGUAGGGUGCGAGCGUUGUCCGGAAUUAUUGGGCGUAAAGGGCUCGUAGGCGGUUUGUCGCGUCGGGAGUGAAAACCCAGGGCUUAACUCUGGGCUUGCUUUCGAUACGGGCAGACUAGAGGUAUGCAGGGGAGAACGGAAUUCCUGGUGUAGCGGUGAAAUGCGCAGAUAUCAGGAGGAACACCGGUGGCGAAGGCGGUUCUCUGGGCAUUACCUGACGCUGAGGAGCGAAAGUGUGGGGAGCGAACAGGA